GCCACCAUUUCUAGAACUGUGGCACCUCUGUGGCUUGGCUGUAUCCACUGUGAACCAGAAAUAACAGCACUCGCGUCAUUGAGCAGCCUUGAGUGCAAAGGGCUGGCCAGGCAAAGGGUAGGCAGCCAGCAGUGUCCCUGUAGUGGGGUCCCGCCUCUGCCUUCGUUCACCAUCGCCUCACUGGGCGCAGAGCCCACGUCCCUGGUGAGCAGCCUGGGUUGGCUCUCGCCUUUGUGACGCCUCCAUUCCCCGGUCAGUGGGUGUCCCAGAGGACAUUGCUGCCUGGGAAUGCAACGGGUGAUCAGAUUUCUACCCUGCUUGGCCCUGAAGGUUCUGGACUGGGGCCUGCAGAGAGGGAAAGUGGCUGUCCUGGUCAUUUGCUCUGAGGAGGUGGCCAGGAGCAUAGCACCUAAUGUAACCCCACACCGUGGACACAUUUACUGGUCCUCAAUGGGGCCGUUGUGGCUGUGGAUUUGAUCUCUGUUGGCCUGCAUGGUGGGCAAGAGAAGAAAGCAGCGUGGGGCCAGACUUGCCCCCUGGGAGCUGGGUGUCUUAGCACCAUGUUGGCCCAGGCAAGGGUUUGCCUCAGCCUUUGGAGUACAGCAUUCUCCUGGUUCCGUGUUGAGAGAAUGGCUUCUGACUCUUCCUUACAGCCCUGGCAAGCAGCAGAGUCUGCCCUGCCUGACCAGCUUGCCUUGUGAAACAGGUGCCCCGGUUGUGGCCGUUGCCCAGGAGGAGAGAAACCAAGGUUACAGAUUCCUAAAUGACAGUCUCAAAGCCACCCACAUGGUUGACCACUGGCAGGGCUGGGAGUGGUAGCCAGGCCAUCUGGCUGUCUAUUCACUCCUUUCUUACAAGGCCACCCAAUGUGAUCAUUUUGGCAGAGGGUGGCCAGCCGGGCGGCCUGCUUAGCCUUGCCUCUCCGGGCAGUGGCGUGUGGUCAGCGAGUGCAGACAGCUGGGAUUACAUUUUAAAAGCAGAGGAGUGUGUGGCUGGCCCCAGCCCAGCCCUCCCCAGCACCAAGCUAUACACCCUCCUGGUGGUUGAAAUGGCCAGCUGAAGAGUCGCUGCUCCAAGGUCCUCUGCCCUGUUAGAGGGAGGACACUGGGGACUCCCAGGGAAGCACAGAAAAGCCAUCACUGGGCCAGUUUUCAACGGGGAAAAUGGUCUCCUGGGACACUCCACCCCUUCAUCCAUUGGCUGGGUCUCCUACCUGUCCACCCUGAGGCAAUAGGAAGGAAGGUGCACUAAUCACUGAGGACUGCUGAUCCAGGCUCUGACUGGUUGGUCUUCACAAUCACACACCUAAGUGUCCCCAAGACACCAGACAGUCGGUGCCAGAAAAAAUAAGGGUCAGUAAGGCAUUCCCAUAGGCAUAGCUGCUGACCCAUGAGGACAGGAACCCUGUUCUCUGGAUUCCCAGCAGGUAGGACAGUGCUGGCAUGCAGAACUGCAGGAGGACAGGCCACAAGGGAGGGAAUGGGUGCCCUCCACUGGGUUUAGAAGACACCCCACUCUGCCAGGGCAUUGUCACAUUAGAGCGUCCCCCCUCCCACCUCCUUCCUGGAGGCCCGUGAGGAAGGUCACCUUCCUGGCAGUGUCACUGCUCUGCAGAGCCUCUUCCUUCUGAGCUUGUCAGCUCCACCAGUGCAGUCCCACAACCGCAGUCUGUCCCACAGGUGUGACAAGCAGACAUUACGAGUGGUAGUGCCCGUGUCACCAUACAUACGCAGGUUUAUUAGCCGACAUCAUCCCCCUUGGUCUCCUUCAUCUGUAAGCUUCAGUAGCUCCCCACGCUGCUUGUCCUUUUGAAGCAGAGCUCCUGCCCUGUCACCCAUAGGAAGGGAACAGUGAGGAGUGAGAUCAUGUGUAGAGUAGGUGCUUGCGAAAGGGCAGGGCCAAGCCAGGAUCUCUGCCAACUCAUGGAUCUGUACGUGAGCCCUUCCACCUUCAUGGAAAAACUGCUUACUCUGGUGUUUAUACAUGACUACCACACACACACACACACACACACACACACACACACAAGAGUCAUAGAAGAAUCCCAGGACCAUAGUGUCUGUACUAGAGUACAAAGGAUCAGAACAACUUUAUUGCCAGCAGCUCCGCGCACAGUAGGCUCCCCCUGCAUGGCAGAUAACUGCAUUGGCAGGACAGGUAGAUCACCCUGCCCUCAAAUCACAGGGAAGAAUGUGAUGAGCAUACAGUGGGUCGCUGCGUAGGGGAAGAGCCCAGGGUUGAGGGCUCAGCACCUUCCAGGGCAAACAGAGAAGCCAAUGUCUGUCUUCUGGAAGCCAUCAGGUACAUGCUCAAAGUCCCCUUGACCUACUUUAUUACUAUGUGACCCGCGGCAGAAAUGGUUUGGGGGCCAGAGAACAGGAAGCCCUUACAGCCAGAGAUGCUCUGUGGAGAUGUUGCAAGGAUGCCCAGAACUCAGGCGGGCAGCCCUACCCCAUCUUGAGCAUGCACUUGGACAGUCCCCUAAACCAGGCAUGUUAGACAGACUGUGGGUCAGGAAGUCGGGGGUGGAGCCUAGGGUUCUGUUUAACCAGCGAGUUCACCUCUCACCUCACUUCACCAGCUGUCCAGAGCCGCUCGGUACAUGCGAGUACAUCUGAGUAUCAGAGCCAUUCUAUAUGUGCUGCCAAUGGCAUCAAGUAUUUGAAAAUGGAUUUCUUUGUCUAUGUGUGUGUACGUGUGUGUGUGUGUGUGUGUGUGGGUGCACACGUGCCAUGGUGUAUGUGUGGAGGUCAGAAGAUAACUUGAGUCAGUCCACUCCUUCCACUAUGUUAUGCCUGGGGAUUGAGCUCAAGUCAUCAGGCUUGGCAAGAAGGACCUGAAGGGCUUUUAACUCAUUGAGCUCUGAGUACAUUUCACACAGCAACCUUACCAAGUAGAUGCUGCCCAUGUCCACAGGCCCAGAGAGAUUCAGGCGCCUCCCCAGUCGCACUACAAUAACUUGAAGCAUCAUGGAAUGCUCUUCUCAUCAGCCAUUCUGUUUCAGGUCUUGCUGUCACCAUGGAGGAGGCCGUGCAUCCCAGAGCCUGUUGAGUGUCCACUUUGCACCAAGCCCUGUUCUGGCUGCAGGGGACACAGCAAGGGACAGAAUAGAUAAGCAUCUUCACUUCCUGGAGUCUACAUUCUAGUUGGAGAGAGACCGGGCCGAUCUUAUAAAUAAAUACCAUGCACAUUG
This is a long non-coding RNA of Mus musculus (house mouse), 3193 nucleotides long. RefSeq annotates it as predicted gene, 54114. NCBI's taxonomy places the organism in Eukaryota, Metazoa, Chordata, Mammalia, Rodentia, Muridae. The record is from RefSeq and is a predicted model, not a curated record. The transcript is spliced from 2 exons.